CCUACGGGCGGCAGCAGUGAGGAAUAUUGGUCAAUGGCCGGAAGGCUGAACCAGCCAAGCCGCGUGAAGGACGAAGGUGCCAAGCAUUGUAAACUUCUUUUGUCAAGGGACAAAAUCAGGCUCGAGAGCCUGACCGAGGGUACUUGAAGAAAAAGCAUCGGCUAACUACGUGCCAGCAGCCGCGGUAAUACGUAGGGGGCAAGCGUUAUCCGGAUUUACUGGGUGUAAAGGGAGCGUAGACGGCAGUGCAAGUCUGGAGUGAAAGGCGGGGGCUCAACCCCGGCGAGCCGUUGAAACUGUCGGACUAGAGACGGCGAGAAGUACGCGGAAUGCGCGGUGUAGCGGUGAAAGGCAUAGAUAUCGCGCAGAACUCCGAUUGCGAAGGCAGCGUACCGGCGCCGGACUGACGCUGAGGCACGAAAGCGUGGGUAUCGAACAGGAUUAGAUACCCCUGUAGUC
RNAcentral lists this ribosomal RNA (459 nucleotides) under uncultured bacterium. RNAcentral's name for it is "partial 16S ribosomal RNA". It matches the Rfam family "Bacterial small subunit ribosomal RNA", at positions 338 to 795 of the family's 1533-position model. The record is from RNAcentral.